This 428-nucleotide ribosomal RNA is filed under the name uncultured bacterium. RNAcentral's name for it is "partial 16S ribosomal RNA". It matches the Rfam family "Bacterial small subunit ribosomal RNA", at positions 354 to 796 of the family's 1533-position model. The record is from RNAcentral.
GUAGGGAAUAUUGCGCAAUGGGGGAAACCCUGACGCAGCGACGCCGCGUGAGUGAUGAAGGCCUUCGGGUCGUAAAGCCCUGUUGCAGGGGAAUAAAAAAAUGAAGGUACCCUGUGAGGAAGGAUCGGCUAACUUCGUGCCAGCAGCCGCGGUAAGACGAGGGAUCCUAGCGUUGCUCGGAAUCAUUGGGCGUAAUGAGGGCGUAGGUGGCGUGGUAAGUCAGGUGUGAAAGCCCAGGGCUCAACCCUGGAAGUGCAUUUGAUACUGCUGAGCUUGAGUGUCGGAGAGGUUACCGGAAUACCUGGUGUAGUGGUGAAAUACGUAGAUAUCAGGUGGAACACCGGAGGCGAAGGCGGGUAACUGGACGAACACUGACACUGAGGCCCGAAAGCGUGGGGAACAAACAGGAUUAGAAACCCCGGUAGUCC